Molecule: transfer RNA, 70 nt
Filed under: Camelus bactrianus (Bactrian camel)
Lineage: Eukaryota; Metazoa; Chordata; Mammalia; Artiodactyla; Camelidae
Also listed under: 2 other names
Rfam family: tRNA
About the family: Transfer RNA (tRNA) molecules are approximately 80 nucleotides in length.
Source: Rfam by way of RNAcentral
GGGUGUAGCUCAGGGGUAGAGCACAUGCUUAGCAUGCAUGAGGUCCUGGGUUCAAUCCCCAGUACCAACA